GAUGAACGCUGGCGGCGUGCCUAAUACAUGCAAGUCGAGCGAACGGACGAGAAGCUUGCUUCUCUGAUGUUAGCGGCGGACGGGUGUGUAACACGUGGAUAACCUACCUAUAAGACUGGGAUAACUUCGGGAAACCGGAGCUAAUACCGGAUGAUAUUUUGAACCGCAUGGUUCAAAAGUGAAAGACGGUCUUGCUGUCACUUAUAGAUGGAUCCGCGCUGCAUUAGCUAGUUGGUAAGGUAACGGCUUACCAAGGCAACGAUGCAUAGCCGACCUGAGAGGGUGAUCGGCCACACUGGAACUGAGACACGGUCCAGACUCCUACGGGAGGCAGCAGUAGGGAAUCUUCCGCAAUGGGCGAAAGCCUGACGGAGCAACGCCGCGUGAGUGAUGAAGGUCUUCGGAUCGUAAAACUCUGUUAUUAGGGAAGAACAUAUGUGUAAGUAACUGUGCACAUCUUGACGGUACCUAAUCAGAAAGCCACGGCUAACUACGUG
This 497-nucleotide ribosomal RNA is filed under the name uncultured bacterium. Its description in RNAcentral is "partial 16S ribosomal RNA". It matches the Rfam family "Bacterial small subunit ribosomal RNA", at positions 28 to 507 of the family's 1533-position model. The record is from RNAcentral.